This 566-nucleotide ribosomal RNA is filed under the name Ambrosiozyma philentoma. RNAcentral's name for it is "eukaryotic LSU rRNA". It matches the Rfam family "Eukaryotic large subunit ribosomal RNA", at positions 62 to 648 of the family's 3401-position model. The record is from RNAcentral. Lineage: Eukaryota; Fungi; Ascomycota; Pichiomycetes; Pichiales; Pichiaceae.
AAACCAACAGGGAUUGCCUUAGUAGCGGCGAGUGAAGCGGCAAGAGCUCAAAUUUGAAAUCUGGUACCUUUGGUGCCCGAGUUGUAAUUUGAAGAUCACAAUCUUGAAAUUGGUCCUUGUCUAUGUUCCUUGGAACAGGACGUCACAGAGGGUGAGAAUCCCGUGCGAUGAGGAUACCUUUUUCAUUUAAGAUGUGUUCGACGAGUCGAGUUGUUUGGGAAUGCAGCUCAAAGUGGGUGGUAAAUUCCAUCUAAAGCUAAAUAUUGGCGAGAGACCGAUAGCGAACAAGUACAGUGAUGGAAAGAUGAAAAGAACUUUGAAAAGAGAGUGAAAAAGUACGUGAAAUUGUUGAAAGGGAAGGGUAUUUAAUCAGACUUGGUAUUUAGCUAUCUCUUCUCCUUGUGGGAGGGGCUCUAGCUUUUUACUGGGCCAGCAUCAGUUUUGGUGGUAAGAUAAUCGCAGUUGAAUGUGGCUCUUCGGAGUGUUAUAGCUUCUGUUGAUGUUACCUACCGGGACUGAGGUCUGCGGCUUUUGCCUAGGAUGCUGGCGUAAUGAUUAAACACCGC